GUGCACUGCUUAAGUGUCUUCAUGGUCCUUUCUUUGACUUUGGAGUCUCAUUCCAGUGCCAGAAUAACAUCCCUUCUUGCAGAAAGAUCAGGCUGUAUUGUAGUCUGACCCUUCCGAGAGUUGGGUACAUUC
Molecule: small nucleolar RNA, 132 nt
Organism: Xenopus tropicalis (tropical clawed frog)
Lineage: Eukaryota; Metazoa; Chordata; Amphibia; Anura; Pipidae
Source: Ensembl